This 254-nucleotide ribosomal RNA is filed under the name uncultured bacterium. RNAcentral's name for it is "partial small subunit ribosomal RNA". It matches the Rfam family "Bacterial small subunit ribosomal RNA", at positions 26 to 284 of the family's 1533-position model. The record is from RNAcentral.
AGGACGAACGCUGGCGGCGUGCUUAACACAUGCAAGUCGAACGAUGAAGCCCUUCGGGGUGGAUUAGUGGCGAACGGGUGAGUAACACGUGGGCAAUCUGCCCUUCACUCUGGGACAAGCCCUGGAAACGGGGUCUAAUACCGGAUAACACUCUGUCCCGCAUGGGACGGGGUUGAAAGCUCCGGCGGUGAAGGAUGAGCCCGCGGCCUAUCAGCUUGUUGGUGGGGUGAUGGCCUACCAAGGCGACGACGGGU